CUACGGGCGGCUCCAGUGGGGAAUAUUGCACAAUGGGCGCAAGCCUGAUGCAGCCAUGCCGCGUGUAUGAAGAAGGCCUUCGGGUUGUAAAGUACUUUCAGCGGGGAGGAAGGGAGUAAAGUUAAUACCUUUGCUCAUUGACGUUACCCGCAGAAGAAGCACCGGCUAACUCCGUGCCAGCAGCCGCGGUAAUACGGAGGGUGCAAGCGUUAAUCGGAAUUACUGGGCGUAAAGCGCACGCAGGCGGUUUGUUAAGUCAGAUGUGAAAUCCCCGGGCCCAACCUGGGAACUGCAUCUGAUACUGGCAAGCUUGAGUCUCGUAGAGGGGGGUAGAAUUCCAGGUGUAGCGGUGAAAUGCGUAGAGAUCUGGAGGAAUACCGGUGGCGAAGGCGGCCCCCUGGACGAAGACUGACGCUCAGGUGCGAAAGCGUGGGGAGCAAACAGGAUUAGAUACCCUCGUAGUU
RNAcentral lists this ribosomal RNA (464 nucleotides) under uncultured bacterium. Its description in RNAcentral is "partial 16S ribosomal RNA". It matches the Rfam family "Bacterial small subunit ribosomal RNA", at positions 339 to 795 of the family's 1533-position model. The record is from RNAcentral.